RNAcentral lists this long non-coding RNA (1492 nucleotides) under Phasianus colchicus (ring-necked pheasant). RNAcentral describes it as "lncRNA (ENSPCLG00000022240.1)". Lineage: Eukaryota; Metazoa; Chordata; Aves; Galliformes; Phasianidae. The record is from RNAcentral.
CAACAGGGAGCACCCAUGGGUCUCCAGUGACACCACCCAUAACGAUAAGCACCCAUGGGUGCCCCAUGGCACCAACAGGGAGCACCCAGGGGUCUGUAAUGAUGGUAUCCACAGCAAGGAGCACCCAUGGGUGCCCCAUAGUACCAACAAGGAGCACCCAGGGGUCUCUAAUCAGCAACGAGCACCCAUGGGUGCCCCAUAGCACCAACCCUGGGGAUGAGCACCCACGGGUGCCCACAGCCUCACCUGUAUCCAGUGAAGGAAGGGACGUACUUCUGGAAAAUGGCCUUAAAGCGCCCAGGGUUGACAGCCUCAGUGGAUUCGGGGUGCCAGAGGGCAGCGAUGACAUCGGCGAAGGCUGCAGGGAUGGUUGGGUGUCAGCAUAGAGGUUCUGGAUGGGAUUUAUCACCUGGGGGGGUGGGGGUGGGGGUGAGGGGGGGCAGCACCCACCCUCAGUGAGCUCCUGUGGGCUGCGGGGUCCGGGCGGCUGCUCUUGUAGGAAUUCCUUCCUCAGGCAGAAAUCCCGUAAAGGUUUGGUGCUGCUCAGGCACUGCAGCACUGCGUUCAUGAAGCACUGUGGGGACAGCAAAGGGAUGAGGUGACACCUCGUUGUCACCAGGGAUGGCACCAAGCAGGGCCUGUGGGGGGGGUGAAAGCCCAAUCCUGCUUUUCCCAGCAUGGAGGGAUGGGAUGGGAUGGGAUGGGAUGGGAUGGGAUGGGAUACAGAGAUGGGGAUGUGGGAUGGGAAUUGUGGGUAUAUGGGAUGUGAGGUCAUGGGGACCACAGGUGUGGGGAUUUGGGAUGUGAGGGGUGGGGAUAUGGGGAUGGGAUGUGAGGUCAUGGGGACCACAGGUGUGGGGGUGUGGGAUGUGAGGUGUGGGGUUGGGAUUUGGGAUGUGAGGUGUGGGGAUACAGAGAUGGGGAUGUGGGAUGUGAGGUGUGGGGUUGGGAUUUGGGAUGUGAGGUGUGGGGAUAUGGGGUUGGGAUGUGGGGUCAUGGGGACAACAGACGUGGGGAUUUGGGGAUGCAAAGGAUGAGGAUGUGGGGUGGUGAGAACCAUGGAUGGGGAUAUGGGGAUGCUGGGCAUGGAGGUGCAGGGAGAGGGAUGUAGACGUGGGGAUGUCACUUGUGGGACUCCAGGCAUGGGGACAGCAGGAGGAUGGGCAUGGAGAUAUGGAAAUGGUGGGCACGGGGAUGUGGGGAUGUUGUGUAUGGGGACAUGGGGAUGGUGGGCACAGGGAUGUUGUGUAUGGGGACACAGGGAUGGUGGGCACAGGGAUAUGGGGAUGUUGUGUAUGGGGACAUGGCGAUGCUGGGCACAGGGAUGUUGUGUAUGGGGACAAGGGGAUGUCAGGCACAGGGAUGUUGUGUAUGGGGACACAGGGAUGGUGGGCAUAGGGACAUGAGGAUGUCAGGCACAGGGAUGUGGGGAUGCUGUGUAUGGGAACACAGGGAUGCUGGGCACAGGGGUGUGGGGAUGUCAGGCACAGGG